GAAACGGUAGCUCAACGGAAGAGCGCUGGCCUGCCACGCCAGAGGUUGCGGGUUCGAUUCCUGUCCGUUCA
Molecule: transfer RNA, 71 nt
Filed under: Chryseobacterium culicis
Lineage: Bacteria; Pseudomonadati; Bacteroidota; Flavobacteriia; Flavobacteriales; Weeksellaceae
Also listed under: 3 other names
Description: tRNA-Gly
Rfam family: tRNA
About the family: Transfer RNA (tRNA) molecules are approximately 80 nucleotides in length. Their secondary structure includes four short double-helical elements and three loops (D, anti-codon, and T loops).
Source: RNAcentral